UGUCUUAUAUUCAAAUUAAAUGAUUUUAAAUUGCAAGUUUAAAGGUGUAAAGUGCUAAGGCUU
RNAcentral lists this transfer RNA (63 nucleotides) under Oecleopsis sinicus. Its description in RNAcentral is "tRNA-Cys". RNAcentral also lists the same sequence under 1 other name. Lineage: Eukaryota; Metazoa; Arthropoda; Insecta; Hemiptera; Cixiidae. The record is from RNAcentral.